CACGUAGGGUGCGAGCGUUGUCCGGAUUUACUGGGCGUAAAGCGUGCGUAGGUGUCUUCGCAAGUCUCUAGUGAAAUCUCCGGGCCCCAACUCGGAAACUGUUAGAGAAACUGCGAGGAUCGAGUGUCGCAGAGGCAGACGGAAUUCUAGGUGUAGCGGUAAAAUGCGUAGAUAUCUAGAAGAACACCGAUGGCGAAGGCAGUCUGCUGGGCGACAACUGACACUGAGGCACGAAAAGCGUGGGGAGCGAACGGG
Molecule: ribosomal RNA, 255 nt
Filed under: uncultured bacterium
Lineage: Bacteria
Description: partial 16S ribosomal RNA
Rfam family: Bacterial small subunit ribosomal RNA
Source: RNAcentral